Molecule: long non-coding RNA, 285 nt
Organism: Gavialis gangeticus (Gharial)
Lineage: Eukaryota; Metazoa; Chordata; Crocodylia; Gavialidae
Exons: 3
Source: RefSeq, a predicted model, not a curated record
AUGUGGAGAGUGUGUCAGAGGUGGCUUGGCUCCUUCAGCUCCACUAGGACCAGUGUCGGAUUUUGAGUUAGUGGGGCCCUGUGUGCAGCUUCAUUUUUGAGUCCCCCCUUGGGACGCAGCCAAGAAAAAGAACGUUCAAGACAGCAAAAAAAGCUGAAGGCAAUUCUUUGGUAGACUACUUAAAACAACCAUGUUUAGAGCACAGUCCGCAGAAGCUCACAGCAUGCAGAAAGCCUGGACCUGCAAUUUGCAGUGCUUAUUAAGUUCAGUCAUUUGUCAAAUUUG